CUGACUUCAGCGUGAGCGUGCACAUCGGUUGCGCGUCCGUGUAUCUGUUCCCGUGUCCGCGAGCGCGAGGCUGAGUGAUUCAGUGCUGCUUUCGGUUUUUUUAACACGCACAGCGGUUCGGUCCUUGGCACCGCCAUCACCGAGACUUCACAGCAAAAAUGUCCAAAUUGGAGCAGAUCCUUAUUCUUGAUCCACCGCACGACCUCAGAUUUAAAGGACCUUUCACAGAUGUAGUCACCACAAACCUCAAGCUGAAGAACCCCUCCGACAGAAAAGUAUGUUUCAAAGUGAAGACGACGGCGCCUCGCCGGUACUGCGUACGGCCAAACAGCGGCAUCAUCGACGCCGGCGCCGCCGUCACCGUGUCCGUCAUGCUACAGCCAUUUGACUAUGACCCCAAUGAGAAAAGUAAACACAAAUUCAUGGUACAGACGACUUUCGUACCUCCGAAUGUUUCAGACAUGGAAUUAGUGUGGAAAGAUGCGAAACCCGAUGAGCUCAUGGAUUCCAAGCUGCGAUGUGUCUUCGAACUGCCUACUGAAAACGAUAAAGUGCUUCUCUCCCUCGGGUUCGCCACCCCAUUGCAAAUGGGCAAAUUAAAUGACCCCGGCUCGGUGGGCGGAGCCCAUCUCCCACCCAGGCCGCCUCCCACCCCCAGCGAGUUCCACACUCCCUUUGGCACCCAGAGCCUGUACACCCCCGGCAGCAUUGGCAGUAGGAUCAUCCCGCUGCAGCUAGGAGGCCUGUGUUUCCCAGGCUUAGCCAGAAAGGUUUGUGACAGGCAGGCAAGCUCAGGUGUAGAACUGGAGGGUAGGUUUGUCAGUGCUUUCUGCCUUUGAGAGCCCUCUGCUUCAGCCAAUGAUUGUGUGAGGAUUCACAGUUCUCAUAUAUUCAUACUGUGGGUGCUAAUUGAUAAUUAGUUUAACAAUAAUAAUUGACUGGAUUCAAGUUUGCCUAAACAUUCAGACAUAAUGUGUUUGAAUGUAUGUUUCGUAAGUGUCAUAUUUAUUGCUGCUUUAAAGCACUUUUCACUAAAGUCAGUAUGUGAACUAUUCCCCAGACAGUAUUAGCUGUAGCAUAACUGUUACUAUAUGGUGAACACCCAUUUUUAUCAGUCGGCAAGUCACUGCAUUGAUUGAUCUACUUUGCAGUGUAAAAAAAAAGAUGUCUUGCUCCUGAAAAUUCUUCCCUAACUGAAUAAAAACAAAAAACAACUUUUGCUUUCUAUAAAUAUAUAAUGUAUUCGACUACUGUGAUGUAAUCAUUAAUUUUGAAAGGUGUUUCCAUUCCAGUGUUAGCAUCAUGUUGUGGUUAGUAAUGUUGUGCACCACACCCCAGGAGCAGCAUGGCAUUGAUUUUUAAAUAGCCUAGCUGUCAUUUAAAUAUGGGAACUUAAUAUGACAAACUAUUUGCUACUAUUGUAGUGGAUAUUUGUCAGCUCUUGGUUUAAAAACAAAACAAACGCUGUACAGCAGGGGUGCCCUGUCUUAUCCGAAAAAGGCCAAUCUGGGCGCAGGUUUUAGAUUCUUCUUAUUUGGAGACUUUGGUUAGUUAAUUAGUUGAACGGGGUGUCUGUGCCGGGCUAAAACAAAAACCUGCACCCACACACUGGCUCUUCUCGGAUAAGAUUGGAUACCCCCGCUCUUUUCAGGGGCAGUUUGUAGUAGGUGAGUCAUCCUCCAUUUCCUUUUGCUCUCAAAACGGAUUGUGGUAGUAGUGACUGGGAUGUGAGCAACAAAUCGUGGCAGGCAAUCAAUUGAGCAUCAUUGUAGCCCAUCAGAACUGCAGGCAGCCAAUGUUAUCUUGCCUCUUGCACACAAUUUCAGAUUCAUUGUGCUAAUAUAUUCCAUUAUCCUCCUUAAAGGAGUUUUAACCGCCCUUUAUUUGCUUGGCUUAUUCCACGGCUUUGCAUGUAUUCAAAUGCAUGAAGGGCCAGUGGAACAUAAGAAGCAUCUGUCAGGCUGAUUCAUGGAAGUGCUGAGUCAGAUUGAUGGUAAAAAAAAAUGUAGUCUGUUCAGAGAGCCCUGAUAUUUAAGGCAAGCUGACCCAGUGUGAGCUGAUUCUACCACAGUCCAUCCUGCCAGCUUGCUCUGUUGGAGCCAUUUUGCUCUGUUGGAGUCUUCAAGUUCAGUCCUCCGGUUCUCCACAUUAUCUCUACAUUUCCACAUCUCUGCAGAACCUGAAUGGAUUUCUCAGUCCCGCCACCAUCGGAGUCAUGUCUGCAAACUGCUACUAAUUCACUGUGGUCACUAAAGAUGCCAUGGCAUUACUGAAGGAGAACAAGAUACGGUCAAAUUCCCACACUGUUUCUCCAACAUCUGGCCACCCAGUCAUACCCCUUAUAUAUUUUUUGAUAGUUGGCUACACAAUUCGUUGCAACACAAGUCAUCACUGUCAGUGAAAAAAUUUACUUUCUGCGGAACGCUUUGCUUGAAUAAAGGCUAAUGAUAAGAAGCAUUACAUUGAAAGCACGAACGUUUUGACUGGGGCCUAAAAACCUAAUGGUUUGGUUUAAUGUAAUGUUAAGUGAAUUGUGGCCAAGAUUUUCACUCAUAUUCAAGAAAUAUAAGUUAAGAAAUCCUUAUAAAUUCCAAGGUUAUUGCCAUAAAAAACCAUAUUAAAUUAUGUGUUAUAAUCUUUUACAUAUGGUUCCAUGUUUGUCUUGACUUAUACAAUAAAAAAGUAAUAAUGACCA
Molecule: RNA transcript, 2695 nt
Organism: Anguilla anguilla (European eel)
Lineage: Eukaryota; Metazoa; Chordata; Actinopteri; Anguilliformes; Anguillidae
Gene name: vesicle-associated membrane protein-associated protein A-like
Exons: 6
Source: RefSeq, a predicted model, not a curated record